Molecule: ribosomal RNA, 516 nt
Filed under: uncultured bacterium
Lineage: Bacteria
Description: bacterial SSU rRNA
Rfam family: Bacterial small subunit ribosomal RNA
Source: RNAcentral
GAGUUUGAUCCUGGCUCAGGAUGAACGCUGGCGGCGUGCCUAACACAUGCAAGUCGAACGAAGUGCUUUUGAUGAAGCUUCGGCGGAUUUAAAAGUAUCUUAGUGGCGGACGGGUGAGUAACGCGUGGGUAACCUGCCUUAUACAGGGGGGAUAACAGUCAGAAAUGACUGCUAAUACCGCAUAAGCGCACAGAGCUGCAUGGCUCGGUGUGAAAAACUCCGGUGGUAUAAGAUGGACCCGCGUUGGAUUAGCUGGUUGGUGGGGUAACGGCCCACCAAGGCGACGAUCCAUAGCCGGCCUGAGAGGGUGAACGGCCACAUUGGGACUGAGACACGGCCCAAACUCCUACGGGAGGCAGCAGUGGGGAAUAUUGCACAAUGGGCGAAAGCCUGAUGCAGCAACGCCGCGUGAGCGAUGAAGGCCUUCGGGUCGUAAAGCUCUGUCCUCAAGGAAGAUAAUGACGGUACUUGAGGAGGAAGCCCCGGCUAACUACGUGCCAGCAGCCGCGGUAAUAC